AACGAACGCUGGCGGCAGGCCUAACACAUGCAAGUCGAGCGCGCCCUUCUGGUUGAGCGGCGGACGGGUGAGUAACGCGUGGGAACGUGCCCUUUUCUACGGAAUCGCCUCGGGCAACUGAGAGUAAUACCGUUUCCGCCCUUUGGGGGUAAGAUUUAUCGGAAAAGGAUCGGCCCGCGUUGGAUUAGGUAGUUGGUGGGGUAAUGGCCUACCAAGCCGUCGAUCCAUAGCUGGUUUGAGAGGAUGAUCAGCCACACUGGGACUGAGACACGGCCCAGACUCCUACGGGAGGAAGCAGUGGGGAAUCUUAGACAAUGGGGGCAACCCUGAUCUAGCCAUGACGCGUGAGUGAUGAAGGCCUUAGGGUUGUAAAGCUCUUUCAGCUGGGAAGAUAAUGACGGUACCAUCAGAAGAAGCCACGGCUAACUCCGUG
Molecule: ribosomal RNA, 433 nt
Filed under: uncultured bacterium
Lineage: Bacteria
Description: partial 16S ribosomal RNA
Rfam family: Bacterial small subunit ribosomal RNA
Source: RNAcentral